AUUUGUCUCUGUGUACAUCUAAAUAUUAGUGUGUGUCUGUGUGUAGAACCAUAUGUUAGUGUGUCUGUGUGUACAUCUAAUUGUUAGUGUGUCUGUGUGUACAUCUAAAUAUUAAUGUGUCUGUGUGUACAUCUAAAUGUUAGUGUGUCUUUGUGUACAUCUAAAUAUUAGUGUGUGUCAUUGUUUAGAACCAAAUGAUAGUGUGUCUGUGUGUAGAUCUCAUUGUUAGUGUGUCUGUGUGUACAUCUAAAUGUUAGUGUGUGUCUUUGUGUACAUCUAAAUAUUAGUGUGUGUCAUUGUUUAGAACCAAAUGAUAGUGUGUCUAUCUAAUUGUUAGUGUGUCUGUGUGUACAUCUAAAUAUUAAUGUGUCUUUGUGUACAUCUAAAUGUUAGUGUGUGUCUUUGUUUAGAACCAAAUGUUAGUGUGUCUGUGUGUACAUCUAAUUGUUAGUGUGUCUGUGUGUGGAAUUAAUUGUUAGUGUGUCUGUGUGUACAUUUAAUUGUUAUUGUCUUUGUGUACAUCUAAAUAUUAGUGUGUGUCUUUGUUUAGAACCAAAUGUUAGUGUGUCUGUGUGUACAUCUAAUUGUUAGUGUGUCUGUGUGUACAUCUAAAUAUUAAUGUGUCUUUGUGUACAUCUAAAUGUUAGUGUGUGUCUUUGUGUACAUCUAAAUAUUAGUGUGUGUCAUUGUUUAGAACCAAAUGAUAGUGUGUCUGUGUGUAGAUCUCAUUGUUAGUGUGUCUGUGUGUACAUCUAAAUGUUAGUGUGUGUCUUUGUGUACAUCUAAAUAUUAGUGUGUGUCAUUGUUUAGAACCAAAUGAUAGUGUGUCUGUGUGUAGAUCUCAUUGUUAGUGUGUCUGUGUGUACAUCUAAUUGUUAUUGUGUCUUUGUGUACAUCUAAAUGUUAGUGUGUGUCUUUGUUUAGAACCAAAUGAUAGUGUGUCUGUGUGUACAUCUAAUUGUUAGUGUGUCUGUGUGUACAUCUAAAUAUUAAUGUGUCUUUGUGUACAUCUAAAUGUUAGUGUGUGUCAUUGUUUAGAACCAAAUGUUAGUGUGUCUGUGUGUACAUCUGUGUGUGUGUGUGUGUAUGUGUGUCAUGCGUAGAUCUGGAUUUGCUCCUGAGGGGUUGACGUGACGUCCUGAUGGCGUCCCGUUGACGUGGCGUCCUGAUGGUGUCCUGAUGGCGUCCCGUUGACGUGGCGUCCUGAUGGCGUCCAGUUGGUCUACAGACAAGGAGAAGAGACGUGAGGAGGAUCAUCAGGAUGUG
Gasterosteus aculeatus aculeatus (three-spined stickleback) is the source of this 1266-nucleotide long non-coding RNA. Lineage: Eukaryota; Metazoa; Chordata; Actinopteri; Perciformes; Gasterosteidae. The record is from Ensembl.